This 449-nucleotide ribosomal RNA is filed under the name uncultured Methanomicrobiales archaeon. RNAcentral's name for it is "bacterial SSU rRNA". It matches the Rfam family "Archaeal small subunit ribosomal RNA", at positions 889 to 1338 of the family's 1478-position model. The record is from RNAcentral. Lineage: Archaea; Methanobacteriati; Methanobacteriota; Methanomicrobia; Methanomicrobiales.
UGGAGCCUGCGGUUAAUCGGACUCAACGCCGGGAAACUCACCAGAUAAGACAGCUGAAUGAUAGUCGGGCUGAAGACUCUACUUGACUAGCUGAGAGGAGGUGCAUGGCCGUCGUCAGUUCGUACUGUGAAGCAUCCUGUUAAGUCAGGCAACGAGCGAGACCCACGCCAACAGUUGCCAGCUCGUCCUCCGGGAUGGUGGGGACACUGUUGGGACCGCCUCUGCUAAAGAGGAGGAAGGAAUGGGCAACGGUAGGUCAGCAUGCCCCGAAUUAUCUGGGCCACACGCGGGCUACAAUGGGUGGGACAAUGGGUAUCGACACCGAAAGGUGAAGGCAAUCUCCUAAACCCAUCCGUAGUUCGGAUUGUGGGCUGCAACUCGCCCACAUGAAGCUGGAAUCUGUAGUAAUCGUGUCUCAAAAUGGCACGGUGAAUAUGUCCCUGCUCCUU